Long non-coding RNA from Daucus carota subsp. sativus, 754 nucleotides. RefSeq lists it as uncharacterized. The record is from RefSeq and is a predicted model, not a curated record. Lineage: Eukaryota; Viridiplantae; Streptophyta; Magnoliopsida; Apiales; Apiaceae. The transcript is spliced from 3 exons.
GAAUAGAAUGAAUUUUAUACAGAAUAAAAUGAUCCGUUCAGCCCAGUAAAAAAAAUUGUUGUUUGGUUGGACCAAAGGAAUGGAAUGAUCCAUUCUUUAAUUCAUUCCAUUCUAAAGGCUUGUUUUAUAAUUUUUUCUCGCUCAGUGGGACAAGUCCAUUCCAUUCUCUCGGAUUAAAACAAAAACAACGUCUUCCCUCUCUGAUUCGGACUCACGCUGUAUAUCCCAUCUCCGACUCCGCCGAUUUCUUACAAGCUCAAUAUCAAAUCCACGCAUCUCAACGAUUUCUUUUGCCAUUUGCAACGAUUUUCAAACCUAAAUUAAUCUAAGCAUACAGUUUUGUUGAAUCAUACAUCUUUGCUGGUGGGGUUUCAACUCUUCUGAACUGGGGAAUUUUCUUCUUGAGAGCCAGAUCUGAACCUGCAUCUUAGACUGAAUGCGGCUUCAUCAUAAAUUUCUGAUAUUGUUCAGAGUGCUUUAUUCCCUGAUGCUGGCUUGGAAAGUGGACUUGGUCAUGCUGGAGAAGUGGGAGGGCUAGUAAUAGUUCGAAAUCUUGACCUCUUCUUGGAGAAAUUUUGUAUUUUAUUUGUAAAUUAUGAAGGAGAAUUAGCAGUGGCCAAAGUUUGGAUUUUUUUUGUAAAUUUUUAAUAUUUAUUAUAGUUGAUUUAGGUACUACUAAUUUGUAAUUUGUGUAAUGAAAUGUGAAGUAUGCUAUUGACAUGAAAUUAAUCCAUUUGUCUAUUUGAUUUAUAUA